Molecule: unclassified non-coding RNA, 239 nt
Filed under: uncultured fungus
Lineage: Eukaryota; Fungi
Description: partial contains 5.8S ribosomal RNA, internal transcribed spacer 2, and large subunit ribosomal RNA
Source: RNAcentral
AACGCACAUUGCGCCCCUUGGCAUUCCGAGGGGCAUGCCUGUUCGAGCGUCAUUACAACCCUCAAGCCUGGCUUGGUAUUGGGCUUCGCUACUCAUCUGGCGGGCCUUAAAAUCAGUGGCGGCGCCGUCGAGGCCCUGAGCGCAGUAAAUCUCCUCGCUAUAGGGACCCGGCUGACUCUGGCCAGAACUCAACUUCUAAGUUUGACCUCGGAUCAGGUAGGGAUACCCGCUGAACUUAA